This 478-nucleotide ribosomal RNA is filed under the name uncultured bacterium. Its description in RNAcentral is "partial 16S ribosomal RNA". It matches the Rfam family "Bacterial small subunit ribosomal RNA", at positions 28 to 523 of the family's 1533-position model. The record is from RNAcentral.
GACGAACGCUGGCGGCGUGCUUAACACAUGCAAGUCGAACGGUAAGGCCCUUCGGGGGACACGAGUGGCGAACGGGUGAGUAACACGUGGGUGAUCUGCCCUGCACUUCGGGAUAAGCCUGGGAAACUGGGUCUAAUACCGGAUAGGACCCUGGGAUGCAUGUCCUGGGGUGGAAAGCUUUUGCGGUGUGGGAUGGGCCCGCGGCCUAUCAGCUUGUUGGGGGGGUGAUGGCCUACCAAGGCGACGACGGGUAGCCGGCCUGAGAGGGUGACCGGCCACACUGGGACUGAGAUACGGCCCAGACUCCUACGGGAGGCAGCAGUGGGGAAUAUUGCACAGUGGGCGCAAGCCUGAUGCAGCGACGCCGCGUGAGGGAUGACGGCCUUCGGGUUGUAAACCUCUUUCAGUAGGGACGAAGCGCAAGUGACGGUACCUACAGAAGAAGGACCGGCCAACUACGUGCCAGCAGCCGCCGUAA